UGGGGAAUAUUGCACAAUGGGCGCAAGCCUGAUGCAGCCAUGCCGCGUGUAUGAAGAAGGCCUUCGGGUUGUAAAGUACUUUCAGCGGGGAGGAAGGUGUUGAGGUUAAUAACCUCAGCAAUUGACGUUACCCGCAGAAGAAGCACCGGCUAACUCCGUGCCAGCAGCCGCGGUAAUACGGAGGGUGCAAGCGUUAAUCGGAAUUACUGGGCGUAAAGCGCACGCAGGCGGUCUGUCAAGUCGGAUGUGAAAGCACCGGGCUCAACCUGGGAACUGCAUUCGAAACUGGCAGGCUAGAGUCUUGUAGAGGGGGGUAGAAUUCCAGGUGUAGCGGUGAAAUGCGUAGAGAUCUGGAGGAAUACCGGUGGCGAAGGCGGCCCCCUGGACAAAGACUGACGCUCAGGUGCGAAAGCGUGGGGAGCAAACAGG
RNAcentral lists this ribosomal RNA (429 nucleotides) under bacterium. Its description in RNAcentral is "partial 16S ribosomal RNA". It matches the Rfam family "Bacterial small subunit ribosomal RNA", at positions 355 to 776 of the family's 1533-position model. The record is from RNAcentral.